UAAUACCCUAUAGGUAUUUGAAGUUGAAAUACUCAGAUACUGAAAGCGUGAGCGCCAGAGGGUGAGUCUGCGGCCUAUCAGGUAGUAGGUGGUGUAAUGGACCACCUAGCCUAAGACGGGUACGGGCCUUGAGAGAGGAAGCCCGGAGAUGGAUUCUGAGACACGAAUCCAGGCCCUACGGGGCGCAGCAGGCGCGAAACCUUCACACUGCGCGUAAGCGCGAUGAGGGGAGACCGAGUGCCUUCUCUUUACGGGAAGGCUUUUCACAAGCCUAAAAAGCUUGUGGAAUAAGGGCUGGGCAAGACGGGUGCCAGCCGCCGCGGUAAUACCCGCAGCUCAAGUGGUGGUCGCUAUUAUUGAGCCUAAAACGUCCGUAGUCGGCUUUGUAAAUCCUUGGGUAAAUCGGGUUGCUCAACGAUCCGAUCCCUGGGGAGACUGCAAAGCUUGGGACCGGGCGAGGUUAGAGGUACUCUCGGGGUAGGGGUGAAAUCCUGUAAUCCCGAGGGGACCACCUGUGGCGAAAGCGUCUAACUUGAACGGCUCCGACGAUGAGGGACGAAGGCUAGGGGAGCAAACCGGAUUAGAUACCCGGGUAGUCCUAGCUGUAAACACUGCCCGCUUGGUGUGGCCUGUCCUCCGGGGGCAGGCCGUGCCGGAGCGAAGGUGUUAAGCGGGCUGCUUGGGGAGUACGGCCGCAAGGUUGAAACUUAAAGGAAUUGGCGGGGGAGCACCGCAACGGGAGGAUGCGUGCGGUU
RNAcentral lists this ribosomal RNA (755 nucleotides) under uncultured Thermoplasmatales archaeon. RNAcentral's name for it is "bacterial SSU rRNA". It matches the Rfam family "Archaeal small subunit ribosomal RNA", at positions 147 to 902 of the family's 1478-position model. Lineage: Archaea; Methanobacteriati; Thermoplasmatota; Thermoplasmata; Thermoplasmatales. The record is from RNAcentral.